RNAcentral lists this ribosomal RNA (329 nucleotides) under Paravaejovis waeringi. RNAcentral's name for it is "partial 12S ribosomal RNA". The record is from RNAcentral. Lineage: Eukaryota; Metazoa; Arthropoda; Arachnida; Scorpiones; Vaejovidae.
UAAAACUUAUAAAAUUAGGUAGUAAAGAAAUUUCUGAAACCUAAAGAAUUUGGCGGUAUUUUAAAUAAUUGGAGGAACCUGUUAUUUAAUUGACAAUCCACAACAUAUCUUACCUAGAUUUUAUUUGUAUAUCGUCGUUUUGAUAAUAUUUAAAAAUAAUAAUCAAUCUUAAUAAAUUUUUAAAUUCAGAUCAAGGUGCAGUAUAUUUAGGUUAUAAUGGGUUACAAUAUACUUAUAUAUAAUGAAUGUAAAAUUGAAAAUAUAUUGAAGGUGGAUUCAAAAGUAAAAUUAAAUUAAAAAGUUAAUUUGAUUGAUAAUUUAAAAUAUGC